Molecule: ribosomal RNA, 430 nt
Filed under: uncultured Sinibacillus sp.
Lineage: Bacteria; Bacillati; Bacillota; Bacilli; Caryophanales; Bacillaceae
Description: bacterial SSU rRNA
Rfam family: Bacterial small subunit ribosomal RNA
Source: RNAcentral
UAGGGAAUCUUCCGCAAUGGACGAAAGUCUGACGGAGCGACGCCGCGUGAGUGAUGAAGGUCUUCGGAUCGUAAAACUCUGUUGUUAGGGAAGAAUAAGUAUAAGGCGAAUAACCUUAUACCUUGACGGUACCUAACCAGAAAGCCCCGGCUAACUACGUGCCAGCAGCCGCGGUAAUACGUAGGGGGCGAGCGUUGUCCGGAAUUAUUGGGCGUAAAGGGUGCGUAGGCGGUCUCUUAAGUCUGAUGUGAAAGCCCACGGCUUAACCGUGGAGGGUCAUUGGAAACUGGGAGACUUGAGUGCAGAAGAGGAGAGUGGAAUUCCAUGUGUAGCGGUGAAAUGCGUAGAGAUAUGGAGGAACACCAGUGGCGAAGGCGACUCUCUGGUCUGUAACUGACGCUGAGGCACGAAAGCGUGGGGAGCAAACAGG